UAUGUUUUUUGGAAUGCAGAAUUCUUAAGCACUCUAUACUCUAACACAACAGUUUUCUGAUAUACCAAAGCAACUCUCCUAGACAACAUUGUUUAUUAUGGCUUAGGCAUGAAGCCAUUUUGAACACCUGAGGGUUCCAAGUGGAAUUCUGACCCGCUUAGAUUUGACUUUGGAUGUACUAAAGUAGCUGAAGGAGAAGCGGGGUAACUAUGGAUUUUACCAUGAGUCUACACUUGAAUCACCUGAGAAACUUCCUGAAGAUAAUCAUGCCAGGCCUUAUCCUAGCAACUCUGAGGUGCCACAGAGAUUUUAAAAUCUUCUCCAGAUGAUUAUGAUGCACAUCCCUCAGUAGAGAACCAUAUACUCAACAUUACAGACUGUAACCAGUCCUAAAUGGCCAAAGGCAAAAUUAUAAAAGAAGGGGAAAUCAAGAAAUCUUCAAUGUCAGAACUCAGAUGAGUUCCAAGGGCAAAAAUCAAAUCAGCAGGCCAAAGUACUCAGGUUUCAAAGGUAACUGCAACAACUGUCACCCAAAUUCAAAUAAAUAUUUACAAAGCCCUUCAGAUAUAUCUUGAGGAGACAUCUUAUACUAACAGAAAAAAAAGGUCAAUACAACACUUUGAAGUAAUUAGGCAUUUUUCAUUAUAGUGAAGCUGUUAUUAAAGAUUUUUUUUUUAAUCCUUCAAGAAGAAAAUACUGCUGGCUUGCUCCUUAGACAACUCUAUCUAACCCUAGUCUUCCUGGAAUGUUCUAAUAAAGAUACAUUCUUUUGUAACUAUAUUACUUUGUUGCUUUUGUCUCAUCCU
This is a long non-coding RNA of Odocoileus virginianus texanus, 806 nucleotides long. RefSeq lists it as uncharacterized. The record is from RefSeq and is a predicted model, not a curated record. Lineage: Eukaryota; Metazoa; Chordata; Mammalia; Artiodactyla; Cervidae.